CCAAUAGCGUAUAUUAAAGUUGUUGCAGUUAAAAAGCUCGUAGUUGAAUUUCGGGGUUAGUAGAUUGGUCGUGCCACUGGUAGGUACUGGUCUUACUGAUUCCUCCUUCCUGAUGAACCGUAAUGCCAUUAAUUUGGUGUUGCGGGGAGACUGGACUGUUACUUUGAAAAAAUUAGAGUGUUUAAAGCAGGCUAACGCUUGAAUACAUUAGCAUGGAAUAAUGAAAUAGGACGUUCGAUCCUAUUUUGUUGGUUUCUAGGAUUGACGUAAUGAUUAAUAGGGAUAGUUGGGGGCAUUAGUAUUCAAUUGUCAGAGGUGAAAUUCUUGGAUGUAUUGAAGACCAACUACUGCGAAAGCAUUUGCCAAGGAUGUUUUCAUUAAUCAAGAACGAAAGUUAGGGGAUCGAAGACGAUCAGAUACCGUCGUAGUCUUAACCAUAAACUAUGCCGACUAGGGAUCGGAUGAUGUUAAUUUUUUAAUGACUCAUUCGGCGCCUUACG
Molecule: ribosomal RNA, 500 nt
Filed under: uncultured Glomeromycotina
Lineage: Eukaryota; Fungi; Glomeromycota
Description: partial small subunit ribosomal RNA
Rfam family: Eukaryotic small subunit ribosomal RNA
Source: RNAcentral